UCUUCCACGCCGAGACCCUCUGCAUUGGCGGACGUUCGCUCUGUUAGAUUUUACCUGGAACUGGAUAGAACGCCAGAAUCCCUGGAAGCGGUAACUACUUAUUUUCUCCCCAUCAGUUAUGCUCUUGAUGCAGUUUGAGCUAUUAAUGUAAGAAAUUAAUCACCUCGCAGUAGAUUAUUUCUUUCAGCAUCUUCCGGAAUAAGUUUGCAGGGCCGCAAGACCACCUGUGCUGCUGGUAUCUGUAUGCCUUGUAUGUGCUCGGCAGCUCGUUCUUAACCUGAUCCGGGAAAAUUAUUUAUAAAUUUCCUUCGUUUUUCUGAGAUUGCAGGAAUGCGCAGCGGCACCGUCGCCGGCGUUCAGAAGAAAGAUGUUACCGAUAAAUCCC
RNAcentral lists this long non-coding RNA (385 nucleotides) under Spirodela polyrhiza (greater duckweed). RNAcentral's name for it is "long non-coding RNA (SPOL_LNC000962)". Lineage: Eukaryota; Viridiplantae; Streptophyta; Magnoliopsida; Alismatales; Araceae. The record is from RNAcentral.